GCGGGAAGCGUUCCGACAGAUCAAGGACUUGUUCCUACAGGGAGCCUACGACACGGUCCGCUGGGAGUUCGGCACCUGCCAGCCGCUGUCAGACGAGAAGGACCUGACCCAGCUCUUCAUGUUCGCCCGGAAUGCCUUCACCGUGCUGGCCAUGAUGGACUACCCCUACCCCACUGACUUCCUGGGUCCCCUCCCUGCCAACCCCGUCAAGGUGGGCUGUGAUCGGCUGCUGAGUGAGGCCCAGAGGAUCACGGGGCUGCGAGCACUGGCAGGUGCCCUUCCCCCGGCCCCAGAUGGGCAAGUGUGGAGACCCCAGGCUUGGCUUGGGUCCUGGGGCCGGGUGGGGCGAGGAUCCGCAGCCCGGCCAGGGGCUUUGCCUCCUGCCCCAGGGCUGUGGUGGGGUGGACAGCACGACCUUCCCAGAAACCCUGGGGGAGGCAGGGGCCGUCCCUGGGGACCCUCUCAGCACUGGCUGUAGCCAGGCCCAGCUUGGUGGGUGCUGCCCAAGGGGCCCCUGGGGUCCCCAGCAUGGAGGGCAACAGAGGGCAGCAGGCCCCACCCUGCCCCGUGGAGAGCGGGGGGGCCCUCAACAGUCAGGCCCGGGGCUGGCAGCACAGACACCGCCGACCUCCAAGCAGG
RNAcentral lists this long non-coding RNA (639 nucleotides) under Homo sapiens (human). RNAcentral describes it as "non-protein coding lnc-SAPCD2-2:1". The record is from RNAcentral. Lineage: Eukaryota; Metazoa; Chordata; Mammalia; Primates; Hominidae.